AGCGGGUCUGAGAGGAUGAUCCGCCACACUGGGACUGAGACACGGCCCAGACUCCUACGGGAGGCAGCAGUGGGGAAUAUUGGACAAUGGGGGGAACCCUGAUCCAGCCAUGCCGCGUGUGUGAAGAAGGCCUUAUGGUUGUAAAGCACUUUAAGCGAGGAGGAGGCUACUCUAGUUAAUACCUAGGGAUAGUGGACGUUACUCGCAGAAUAAGCACCGGCUAACUCUGUGCCAGCAGCCGCGGUAAUACAGAGGGUGCAAGCGUUAAUCGGAUUUACUGGGCGUAAAGCGCGCGUAGGCGGCUAAUUAAGUCAAAUGUGAAAUCCCCGAGCUUAACUUGGGAAUUGCAUUCGAUACUGGUUAGCUAGAGUGUGGGAGAGGAUGGUAGAAUUCCAGGUGUAGCGGUGAAAUGCGUAGAGAUCUGGAGGAAUACCGAUGGCGAAGGCAGCCAUCUGGCCUAACACUGACGCUGAGGUGCGAAAGCAUGGGGAGCAAACAGGAUUAGAUACCCUGGUAGUCCAUGCCGU
Molecule: ribosomal RNA, 527 nt
Filed under: Acinetobacter rhizosphaerae
Lineage: Bacteria; Pseudomonadati; Pseudomonadota; Gammaproteobacteria; Moraxellales; Moraxellaceae
Description: bacterial SSU rRNA
Rfam family: Bacterial small subunit ribosomal RNA
Source: RNAcentral